This is a non-coding RNA of Pelobates cultripes (western spadefoot toad), 531 nucleotides long. The record is from the annotation of a GenBank genome assembly. NCBI's taxonomy places the organism in Eukaryota, Metazoa, Chordata, Amphibia, Anura, Pelobatidae.
UGGUGACUGUGGCGGUGUAGGUUGAAGUAGCGGUGGAGGAGGAUGAGGUAGCCAACACUGUUUUUUACAUAUAUAUAUAUUUUUUUUUUUUAAUUGGGGUAGCCCCCAAAAUAUUGGGACAUAUAAAAAAAGAAAAACUCUGUUCCACAAAGUAGCUGAUGACAUUAUAGUUGCGCAGGCACUUUGUUGACUCUAGAGAACCUCAGGCCAAUCGCACAUUCCCGUGACGGCAACUUUGCAUUCGGAUGUCAUCCAUAUCAACUUUCAAUGCCAGUGUCUGCACCUACCAUGGUGACCACAGGUAACAGGGAAUCAGGGUUCCAUUCCGUACAGGGACCCUGAGAAACAGCUACCACAUGAAAGGAAGGCAGCAGGCACGCAAAUGACCCACUCCCGACACGGGAAGGUAGUGACGACAAAUAACAAUACAGGACUCUUUAGAGUCCACUUGAAAUCCUUUAACUCUGAUCAAUUGGAGGGAAGUCUGGUGCAGAGCCACUGACCCGUGCGUCUUGCAGCUGAAACUCCACU